GCCUCGCGGGGGGUGCCUCCUCCCCCUGCGAUGGGGGUCGUAAGAGCCACUGGGGGAAUAGGGGCUUGCUCUCAGUCACCGCCUCGCGGGGGGUGCCUCCUUUCCUUUCUACAUAGACACAGUGACAGUCUGAUCUCUCUUUCUUUUCCCUACAGAUGGACACGCCCCCACUGAUAUUGUUUUUAAUGCAGCGUGGGAGGGGAGGAUAUGACACGCGAUAUCGCAGCUGAGUGCCACGUGCUGACGUCACUAAGAUCAAUACAGCAAACUCUGAAAGAUGGACAGAGAGACAGGAGAUGGUCCUUUAUAAUGCAGUGUGAUCUGUGCUGCAAUAGAGAUGGAAGAGUGUUCUGAUUGGCUGGAAAACAAUGCACAUGGGAAGCUGUACAGAAAUGAGUGGGGAAAGGUAAUACUUAACAGCAACAGCAGUUAAUAUUUAGUGCCCACUUACGACAUGCUGGACACAGUUCCGGGUACUCUGAACAUAUUCGCUCAUUUAAUCUUUACAACAACCCUAUGAGGUAGGUACUAUUAUUAUCCCCAUUUUCAGGUGAGGAAUCUGAGGCACAGAGAGAGUAAGUAUGUUGCCCAGGGCCACGCACCAAGUAUGUGGUAGGUCCUGGAGUUGAAUGCAG
Molecule: long non-coding RNA, 635 nt
Filed under: Homo sapiens (human)
Lineage: Eukaryota; Metazoa; Chordata; Mammalia; Primates; Hominidae
Description: non-protein coding lnc-PGM5-2:8
Source: RNAcentral